CCUCUCUCAGGAUCUCACCUGGAGAGUUCCUAGUACUCUACCAGUCCAGGCCACGGGAGGGAGAGUCAAGCAGAGGCAUGUCCAUUCCAUUCCGAGCUUGGCCAGUGGCUAGUGAGUGGAAGGCAAUCUGCUGCAAGU
Molecule: small nucleolar RNA, 138 nt
Organism: Ornithorhynchus anatinus (platypus)
Lineage: Eukaryota; Metazoa; Chordata; Mammalia; Monotremata; Ornithorhynchidae
Source: RefSeq, a predicted model, not a curated record